UGAGGGAUAUUGGGCAAUGGGGGAAACCCUGACCCAGCGACGCCGCGUGAGGGAAGACGGUCUUCGGAUUGUAAACCUCUGUCUUUGGGGACGAAGAAGGACGGUACCCAAGGAGGAAGCUCCGGCUAACUACGUGCCAGCAGCCGCGGUAAUACGUAGGGAGCGAGCGUUGUCCGGAAUUACUGGGUGUAAAGGGAGCGUAGGCGGGAUUGCAAGUUGGAUGUGAAAACUGCGGGCUCAACCCGGAGAGUGCAUUCAAAACUGCGAUUCUUGAGUGAAGUAGAGGCAAGCGGAAUUCCUAGUGUAGCGGUGAAAUGCGUAGAUAUUAGGAGGAACACCAGUGGCGAAGGCGGCUUGCUGGGCUUUUACUGACGCUGAGGCUCGAAAGUGUGGGGAGCAAACAGG
RNAcentral lists this ribosomal RNA (405 nucleotides) under uncultured bacterium. Its description in RNAcentral is "bacterial SSU rRNA". It matches the Rfam family "Bacterial small subunit ribosomal RNA", at positions 355 to 776 of the family's 1533-position model. The record is from RNAcentral.